This is a long non-coding RNA of Equus asinus (donkey), 1193 nucleotides long. NCBI's taxonomy places the organism in Eukaryota, Metazoa, Chordata, Mammalia, Perissodactyla, Equidae. The record is from Ensembl.
GUUCUCUGGAACUUAGGAGUCAUUGCCACCUGUAGCUGGACCUACAAGGUGGCUGCUUGAUGGAAGAGGGGACCAUGGAAGAGAGUGUGUAGGUAGGAGUUGAGAUUGUGGAGGAGACAUAGCCAAUGCUAGAGAUACCAUCUGAAGCGGGGGAAAAGGAGAAAUUCCCUGGUUUCUCCUUUCCUCUCAUUCUCCAGUUUCCUGCUAGUGUUACCAAUGGACCAUACCUAGUUGGACAUCAGCUGGCAAGGGAGCUUGAAAAUAUCACUUAAAGGGAAGAUGGGAAAUGAAUCUGAGAAUAAACAGGCUGAUCCACUUUCUAACAAUGGACCUCACAGGGCCGUGGCAUCUCUUCCUCUCCUCUUGAGCCAACUGAUGAACAGCUUUCAGGCCCCUCAGAUGCCCAUCCUUCUGUGCCUCAUGCUAGUUCUUCAGCUGGGGCUGGACUAGCCUCCAGCAUCAAACAUUUGAAUACCUUGGCAGAUGCUGCUGAAACCAGUGUGAGAACCUCAAGCCAGACUGGAUCACCUCAUGCUUACUUCACGGAGCAGAAAGCUGGCGCCCAUCACCUGGUUCAGAGUUUCUUUCUCUACUUCUCUCAUCCCUGAGGGCCACGAACCUGCACACUUCACUCUCUAACAAUUUGUAGCCCGGGAUUUCUUUUCAGAAGGUGAAAGGAUCCCAUGGAAAACUUGUCAAGUCACGUAGCCAGAGCAUCUGCAGAAGAGGAAAUCUUGACCUGAAAUGACCACAGAACCAAAGAUCGAUCCUCCUUCCCACAGAACCCAAGGACUGGGGCACGACUGGAACUUGAAAGUCAGACGCUUAUUAGAAGCGAGAGGUCCCUCAUUUCGGAAGAUCUGGUGUUAAAGUUCUUCCUCAUCUCAUCAAAAAUGUUUAGAACUCUAUCAUGGAAGUUUAGAACCUCAUCAUCAAUGUUUAAAACCUUACCAUAGAUGCUUGAAGCCCACCAGUCAAAACCUGUCCUGCCAACAUUUCCUCGUGCCAGCCUGUUCUCAGUAACCUCUUAAAUUUCACCCCAAAUCCUGAAUUGAGGAGACAUAUCUGAAGGCACAAGUCCCCUUUCUCCCUGCAGGUUGAGCUCACAGAAUAAAGCUGAUCUCUUUUCCCAAAGGCUGAUGCCAUAAUUAAUUGGUCAUUUAUGUGCACCGGGCAAGUGAACCCCAAUUAUG